Non-coding RNA from Biscogniauxia sp. FL1348, 113 nucleotides. NCBI's taxonomy places the organism in Eukaryota, Fungi, Ascomycota, Sordariomycetes, Xylariales, Xylariaceae. The record is from the annotation of a GenBank genome assembly.
GCACUCGUAGGGUAGAAGUUAACCUGCUUCCCCCCCAAAACACAACCGCCGAACUGGGUUGGUUGGUGUAGCGGCGACAGGAAGAGACCCGGGUGCAAGUCCCGGCGGGUGCA